CAGCAGCUGCCAGCCUACACCACAGCCACAGCAACACAGGAUGUGAGCCACGUCUGUAACCAAUGCCAUAGCUCUCAGCAACUUCAGAUCUCACUGAGAAAGGCCAGGGAUCCAACCCGCAUCGUCAUGGAUACUAACCAGUUGGAUUCAUUUCCGCUGCACUACAACAGGAACUACUAUUUCAUAGAUUUUAUUGGUAAUUUCUUUCACUAUUGCCUAAAGCUCAGAAUCUAAAUAUCGUAGUGAUAGAUACAAAGUACCUGCGUAACACCUGGGAUUCAUUACACCUGUAACCAUAUAUGACAUUUCACUACACUAUUAAAACUGUAUUUUAAAUACAGAGUCUAAAUACAAAGUGCUUUUAUAUAUUCCAAAAUAUUUUUCUCCAUGGCACAAUGAAAACUUUGUUUUUAUCAACAUUUUAUGAUAGAUCGUUUUAAAAGCCACAUAUUCUAUCACAAAAGCAAAACAUUUGAAAACAACUGCCAUAUUUCAACUUUAUAAUCUUUGUAAAACUAGAUGCUUAUUUGGGUCAGAAAAUUGUGUCACUUUUGCUGAUCACCCAGCAAAAACCUGUCAAGUGACUUUCAGGUUUAUAUAAUCUAAUGCCAUUAUAAGCAAUUACAAGGCCUAAUGGACGCUGGUUGUGUGUACCUCUGGCAUUGCCCUGAAUUUACAUCGUUAGUCACUUCCUGAAGUCAUGUUAGCUUUCCUUCAUCGACUGCCCUCUCGGGUUUUUAGGCCAUCAUUCUUAAGAGCAUUUCACAGAGCAAUUCAUCACCUUCCUAUGUUUUCCAGUUAAACAUAUACAUGCUUUGAUUCCUUAAAUAUGUCAUGUUUGGGCAAAACUAAUUAAUGAGUGGAGGAAAAAAAUCAGAAAUUAUUGCCUUUGAGGAUGGGAGGGUAAAGGAUGUCUGGUAAUGGACCUGAGGGAACUUUCUGGGGGGAUGAUUGUGUUCUUUGUCCUGACAGAGGCUUGGGUUAACAGGUAUGGACGUAAGUCAAAGCUCAGCAAAUGUUCACUUAAGAUCUAGCUGUGUCCGCUACAUUUCAAUUUUACCUCAAGAAGAAAAACACUGGCAACUAUUGCCGAUUUCUAGAUGAGGACACACAUGGAGAAGUAUUUAGGCAGAAAUGCAUCAAAAAUAACUAAGAUGGAUUAAUGGAUGAAUAGAGGGGUGAACACAUGGACAGAAACAUAACUCAAAAUGUUCACUAAAGUGAGAAGUAGGUAAACUGGUGUUCACGGUAAAAUUCUUUCAACUUCUCCAUGUUCAAAAAUUUUGAUAAUAAAAUGUUCUGCGAUUUACAAGAUCAUUUUUCACAAUCCUUUUUACUUUAAAAUUCACCCAGUAAAUUACGAGGAAUCAGGAAGUAUUCCCAAAGAUUCUGAACUAUGAUCUUUGUUGCCCACUGAUUUGAGUAUUUUAUUUUUUUAUAAAAAUCGAGCCCAAUAGUUAAGACUGGAUAAAAAUCUAGUUAAAUUAGGACACUCUUUCAAUUCAUUCCACAAAUACUCCUCAAACACCUAUGUACCAGAUUAUCUCUAAGUGUUAAAGUCAAAGGACAACCUGAUUGUAAUACGAUGUGAUUUAGACUAUGGGUUUCAGGAAUGUGGCUGGAAGGGCAUUUUCUGGAACAGGAGGGAGAAGUAAAAUUUUCCCAGAUGGAGAAAAUUCAUUCUAGUCUGUCGGAAAUUGCGUAUGUGAGCAUGUAACACAAAAACUUUAUUUUACAGGUAAGAGUAACAUGGCAGUUGCUUCAUGAAUAUAUCAAGAUAUUUAAAAUACAUGUACAUAUGUUAGAUCCUCCUUUUACUGUCUUAUAUACUGCUUUUGAAAGAUUCUGCAAUCUCUUCAGUCACCAAUAUAAUCUAAGCACCUUUUGUUUACCAUUUAACCCAAGCUUCAAGUAUUUCACUUUAAAUAAUUAAAGGUAUGACCCCAGCUGAUUUUAUUACUUCUUAAGGACUUUUUUCUAUAACAAAUUUUACCUGGUAAUCACUUCAAAAAAACACUGGUCUAAAGUCAUAAAAUCCCAAGAGUCAAUACUCUAGGAUUAGAAAGGUUCCCUAGACUAGGCAGCAAAUAAAAACACAAGCACCUCAGAGUUCCCAUUGUGGUACAGCGGUAAUGAAUCCAUGAAUCCGACUAGUAUUCAUGUGGAUGUGGGUUCAAAACCUGGCCUUGCUCAGUGGGUAGGGGACCGGUGUUGCUGUGAGCUGUGGUCAACUUAGCCCACUGUAAAAUGCACAAAGGACAAAUGUCAAAGUAUUGUCCAAACUGUCUAUCGUCUAGUGAGAUAUUUUAAAUAUUUUACAUCUUCCUUUUUAAGGCAUAUGGACGGUCCCAAUUCCUUUAAUGAGCAGUUUGCCUCUUUAACCAACUCAAGCAAAAUUCUAGCACCUGUGGGUUUACAUCAAUGUGUCUUAUCAUCUGCAGAAUGUAGGUAUCACUAUAUACUCAUGUGCUUAAUGUAAGAAUUAAAUGAGAUUUAAAUGUGGUUCGUGCUUACUGUUCAAUAAAGAGUAAUUAACAAUAAAAAUGUUUAAAUGAAUACACAUAUGCAGGCAAUUGCACAGACAUGCUUUUUAACCUGGUCCAUGAGUUAAGGUGAGCCAGAAUUCAUUUUAUCUUUUCAGUUUAGUAACAAAUUCCUAAUUCUUAGUCUCACUGCAUUACUGACCACUUCAGGGUCAUGAGAGUUUUUCAUUUGCUCCCUCUCAGAUCUCAACUCCUUACUUCACUGCUCACCCAAAACUGGCACUCUUUAAGGAGUUCACUAGCAAAGACCUUAAAAUUCUUUUAUCAUUUAUCUGUUAGUGGCUGAGAAUAGAAAUAUCACUGGACCUUCACCUCAAAUAAUCCUGAAAAAAAAAUUCUAAGUGACUGAGUUGGGCUAAAGGUUCGGACUCCAGAUGCUUUGUCAUUUGUCUCAAACCAUUUUCUAUGGGUACCUUCAAAUGAUCUCCAGGCUGAAUCAGAUUUUUCUGCUGAGGGACUAUGAAAAAGUCAGGUAGGAAAGGUAUUAUUGAGAGUUCUAAAACUGAAUGCUGCAUUAUUAAAGGAGAUGAAGAUAUUCAGAAAUUCUAGGGAAAAGAGAUUUCUAGGACAAAAAAAAUUAAAUGACAAACCUGAUUUCAUCCAUUAGUACAUAUAAUAAUGGNACAAACCUGAUUUCAUCCAUUAGUACAUAAAAUAAUGGCUUACUUACUAUUUGAUAGAAAACUACUAGAAACUACUAGAAAACUAAUAGAAAAAUAUUAUCACUUGGAGUUAAAAAGAAGUGAGAAUUUGAGGUUAUACUUUGAAAGGCAAUUAAGUGACCCAAGUUAAUAAAUUUUAAACAGAAAAGGAUGUUUCUGGCAGAGCACCAGGACAGUCCAUUCAUUGAGAACAAUUUUGCAAAAUGAUCUUUACCAUUGAUCAGCUUAUUAAUCUCCAUGCUAUAUUUCUACUAGGAAAAAAGCAUUCGUCAUAUUUACCACUGAAUUAUAAAUCUAGCCCAACAUAUCAUAAAGAUUUCAAAACAGUUAAAUCUUCCUUAAUGCCCCAGAAGCAAAGACAGAGCCUCAGGCUUAGUUCUAUAGGUAAGUCCGCAACACUGACCUUUCCCUCUCAAGAAACAAGUUUCUUUUGCCGGAAUGUUAACUAUAUUCAUUUAAAAACUGGAAUGCUAUCAGUACGGAUUUGCCCUUUUUCAUUUUUUCAAGAUAUGCUCUUAAUCCAGGUGUAGGCUGUGAGCAACCACACACAGACUGCAUGCCUCGUUUGCAAAGUCCCAUCAGAAGACUGUACACAUUUGAACCAUCAUGUUGCUUUUUUUUACUGCAACACUCAGAGUGAUUCUCUUUCUGUUCCCUGAUCUUGUAUUUCAAUCAUCAUGAAAGUAAUAGAGCAAUUAGCAAAUGAGACUCUGCCUUCCUUGUCUAUAUAAAAAAAUAGAUGCUUGGUUUCUUAUGUAAAUAAGACAUAAGGCAAUAAAAAGUGAAUACCAAAAAUGUUAAAGGAAGGGUUUCGACAGAAUUUUUUUAAAGCAAUAAGGGCUAGGAGAAAAAUAAUAUAAAAAAUUUGAAUGUCUAAAAAUACUUAAGUGAAAUCCUAUGGUCCUAGAAAAAAAAUCUUUAAAAAAUGAUUAAUAUGUGAAAUAAACUAAUCUAUUAUUUCAAAAAGAAACUAAACUUUUUUCUGAGUAAAAGGAGGACAAUCUUCACUAAAAACUUUAAAAAAUACUUUGAUAGAGUACCUUUCUAAAGAAAUGGGCAGAUGCCUAAUAAUUUUAUAUUUACCCAAGAAAAUAUGUUUUUUUUUGUUUGUUUGUUUGUUGCUGACAAUGUGCUUUAUUUUAAAACCAGAACAGAAUAAAAAGUUCAAAGGAAUACUUUCCCAAGUACAAAAAAAAAGUUGGCGAUAAAGCAAGCCACAGCUAAAACGACUAUUCCCGAA
RNAcentral lists this long non-coding RNA (4445 nucleotides) under Sus scrofa (pig). Its description in RNAcentral is "lncRNA (ENSSSCG00015001971.1)". The record is from RNAcentral. Lineage: Eukaryota; Metazoa; Chordata; Mammalia; Artiodactyla; Suidae.